RNAcentral lists this ribosomal RNA (197 nucleotides) under uncultured bacterium. Its description in RNAcentral is "partial 16S ribosomal RNA". It matches the Rfam family "Bacterial small subunit ribosomal RNA", at positions 328 to 539 of the family's 1533-position model. The record is from RNAcentral.
ACGCUCGACACCUACGGGAGCAGCAGUGGGGAAUAUUGCACAAUGGGGGAAACCCUGAUGCAGCGACGCCGCGUGAGUGAAGAAGUAUUUCGGUAUGUAAAGCUCUAUCAGCAGGGAAGAAAAUGACGGUACCUGACUAAGAAGCCCCGGCUAACUACGUGCCAACAGCCGCGGUAAUCUGAGCGGGCUGGCAAGGC